GAUGAACGCUAGCGGGAGGCCUAACACAUGCAAGCCGAGCGGUAGAGUUUCUUCGGAAACUUGAGAGCGGCGCACGGGUGCGUAACACGUGUGCAACCUACCUUUAUCUGGGGGAUAGCCUUUCGAAAGGAAGAUUAAUACCCCAUAAUAUAAUGAUUGGCAUCAAUUAUUAUUGAAAACUCCGGUGGAUAGAGAUGGGCACGCGCAAGAUUAGAUAGUUGGUGAGGUAACGGCUCACCAAGUCAAUGAUCUUUAGGGGUCCUGAGAGGGAGAUCCCCCACACUGGUACUGAGACACGGACCAGACUCCUACGGGAGGCAGCAGUGAGGAAUAUUGAACAAUGGGUGAGAGCCUGAUCCAGCCAUCCCGCGUGAAGGAUGACGGUCCUAUGGAUUGUAAACUUCUUUUGUACAGGGAUAAACCUACCCACGUGAGGGUAGCUGAAGGUACUGUACGAAUAAGCACCGGCUAACUCCGUG
Molecule: ribosomal RNA, 479 nt
Filed under: uncultured bacterium
Lineage: Bacteria
Description: partial 16S ribosomal RNA
Rfam family: Bacterial small subunit ribosomal RNA
Source: RNAcentral